GUUGGUAGGAUUUGAUUUCUUUCAUUAUUGUACAGUCCUAUAGUUGGUAGGAUUUGAUACCUCUCUGUACUCUAUAUAUACUUUCGUGAGCAAUAUGAGAAAAUUGAUUCUCCCAAAAUUCUCUACAACGAGUUCAUGUGAUUAGAGUAAAGCAUUUUUUAUUUAAAUUAUACUACAUAAAGAAUUUCCCUAUUCAGCACCCAUGCUUAGCGGAGAACUACAAUAUGUUUUAUGUGAUUUAUUAACAAAAAAAUAGAACAUAUUAGUCUUAAGGCAUGGCUUAUACUCAAAUAUCAUCAAUCGCUCCUUCACUAUCCAAAACAGUAGCUAAUACCACAGUUUCACCAUGAGAAUUCAAUGAGAAAAAUCUGAACAUACAAGUCCUAGAACAUGAUUCUAUCCUUAUCAAAUUGUCACUAACACACUUCAACACGACAAAAUAAAGAAAGCCUAACACAUGAUUUUCUAAGUGUAUUUAAACGAAGAAAAUAAAUCGAGAUGAGUCAGAUUUACCUGUUGUUGGGCAGUGAGACUGGGGACGUCGAUGUCGAAUCUACUCUUUUGUCAUGAACAGAUUCGAACUAGAACUGGGCGAACUCACAACUCUCUGCUUUGCUUAAAGUCAACAAAGACAGAGAUGUUUUGAAAGAGAAUAACAAUGGCUAAUUAGCUGUGUUUGAUUCUAGAUCGUGUUUGAGAGAGUUCUCGGAUAGGAAAUUUUUGAUUAGAGACUGAAACGUUUCUGUUGUUCAAGUUUUGCAAACGAGACUAAGGCUUUUCAUAGUUAGUAAAGUUUGAGGGGUCGAGUGGCCGCUGAACCUUAAGGUUAAAGGAGGGGGUUCAAGCUUGAUUUAAAAUCUCUUCAAAAGCGGGUAUUUAUUGGCUAAUUUUUAGGAUUCUUGAUUUGAACGAGAUUUCGAAAUUGAGUGAAAAGUUAUUGAACAUUUGAAAUUUUGAACAUUAAUGUUGAAGAAAAUGAAAUGAGGUGCAAAACUUUUUGUUCAAAAUGGUAAUGGAAAGUUCUGCCACGACUGAGCAAGGAUGGAAUUUUGUGAAGAGGAGGAA
This 1065-nucleotide long non-coding RNA is filed under the name Nicotiana benthamiana. RNAcentral describes it as "long non-coding RNA (NBEN_LNC033022)". Lineage: Eukaryota; Viridiplantae; Streptophyta; Magnoliopsida; Solanales; Solanaceae. The record is from RNAcentral.